Non-coding RNA from Nicotiana sylvestris (wood tobacco), 161 nucleotides. The record is from Rfam. NCBI's taxonomy places the organism in Eukaryota, Viridiplantae, Streptophyta, Magnoliopsida, Solanales, Solanaceae.
AUACUUACCUGGAAGGAGUUAAUGAGUGAUCAAGAAGAUCCAUGGCCUAGGUUGGUGACCUCCAUUGCACUUCGGAGGGGCGCCCGCCUAAGAUCGGCCCAAGUGGUCGAGCCUACGUCAUAAUUUGUGGCAGCUGGGGCUUGCGUUCGCGCGGCCUCUAC